ACAUGGUUCAAACUUAUAAAUAAAGACUUAUCUCAUCCUGUGGGCCUCUCAUAGUGUCCCGUGCUAGAGCAAACUGGCUCCUAACCAUUGCCCAGCCUCGGUGCAUGUAGGCUGCUGGCACUGAAGUGGGUCACACAGUG
Rattus norvegicus (Norway rat) is the source of this 140-nucleotide small nucleolar RNA. Ensembl annotates it as small nucleolar RNA SNORA42/SNORA80 family. Lineage: Eukaryota; Metazoa; Chordata; Mammalia; Rodentia; Muridae. The record is from Ensembl.